GGGUUAGAGGAGGGUUAGAGGAGGGUUAGAGGAGAGUUAGAGGGGAGUUAGAGGAGAGUUAGAGGAGGGUUAGAGGAGAGUUAGAGGAGGGUUAAAGAGUUAGAGGAGGGUUAAAGAGUUAGAGGACGGUUAAAGAGUUAGAGGACGGUUAAAGAGUUAGAGGAGAGUUAAAGAGUUAGAGGAGGUUUAGAGGAGAGUUAGAGGGGUUAGAAGAGGGUUGGAGGAGAGUUAGAGGACGGUUAAAGAGUUAGAGGAGGUUUAGAGGGGUUAUAGGAGGGUUAGAGGAGAGUUAGAGGAGAGUUAGAGGGGUUAGAGGAGAGUUAGAGGAGGGUUAAAGAGUUAGAGGAGGUUUAGAGGAGGGUUAGAGGAGAGUUAGAGGAGAGUUAGAGGAGAGUUAGAGGAGAGUUAGAGGAGAGUUAGAGGAGAGUUAGAGGAGAGUUAGAGGAGAGUUAGAGGAGAGUUAGAGGAGAAUUAAAGAGUUAGAGGAGGUUUAGAGGAGGGUUAGAGGAGAGUUAGAGGAGAGUUAGAGGAGGGUUAGAGGAGGUUUAGAGGAGGGUUAGAGGAGAGUUAGAGGGGUUAAAGGAGGGUUGGAGGAGGGUUAAAG
Oncorhynchus tshawytscha (Chinook salmon) is the source of this 604-nucleotide long non-coding RNA. The record is from Ensembl. NCBI's taxonomy places the organism in Eukaryota, Metazoa, Chordata, Actinopteri, Salmoniformes, Salmonidae.